AUUGAUACUACACAUACUUUAAGUUCAUAUGAUAUACAUACAAUUACAAAAAAAAUGAUUUGCUACUCACUUAAAAUGCAUGUCAAGUUUUUUAUUUAAAAAAUUAACAAAAAGUUACAUCCGAAAUUUUAAAAAAAAACUAAAUUAGUGCAUUUUUAGUUUUAAAAUGUUAUGUCCAAAUCUAUUAACUAUUCAAUCUAUUAAAAAUAAAAAAUUAGUUAACUGAAAGUUAUAUUUUUAAAUAUAAGAAACUUGAGAAAUGAAAAUUUUAAUUUUUUUAAAAAAAUUUAAAUAUCCGAACCAGAUCUGAAAUAACCGAAUCCGAACUAAAAAUACCCGAAUCCGACCCAAAGUACAGAAAUACCCGAACGGGUUCUACACCUCUAUACCAAAAUACCCGAUAAUCCGAAAUAUCCAUCCCGAACCCGAACGGGUACCCAAGGCUAAACUAAAUCGAUAAUUAUUAUCCCCUAGCUAUAUAUGGGCUUAACGAAAUCGACAAUAGUUUUGGGCUUGUCUACAUAAGCGAUUGAUUAAAAUAAAUGAAAAAAAAAAUUCAAAAAAACCAGCCAAGAGAAUUAUAACGUUUUUUCCUGAGAAGCUCUAUAUGAGUACCACCUCAACAGAAAUCACUAAAGUGACUUCUCUUUUAAUGUAUAGGGGGAUGGGAUUUGGUAAUUUUCUAAUAUAAAAUAAAAAUAUGCCCUGUUAAUUACAUAAUGAGCUAAUACCAAUUGGAUUGUUCAUUACAAACGAAUUUUAUGUUCUUCUUUUACCAUAUUCAUGCUAAAUCAAUAUUAAUUCUAC
This 807-nucleotide long non-coding RNA is filed under the name Brassica rapa (field mustard). Its description in RNAcentral is "long non-coding RNA (BRAP_LNC002339)". Lineage: Eukaryota; Viridiplantae; Streptophyta; Magnoliopsida; Brassicales; Brassicaceae. The record is from RNAcentral.